Brugia malayi is the source of this 107-nucleotide small nuclear RNA. The record is from RefSeq and is a predicted model, not a curated record. Lineage: Eukaryota; Metazoa; Nematoda; Chromadorea; Rhabditida; Onchocercidae.
GAUAUAAUCUUAAAAGGUUUGUCAUAGUUUUUUGCAACCGGCCCAGAGUUUAGGCUACUGUGGCUUGAAGUAAAAUUUUGGAACGUCCUGCAUGUUUGUGGGACAAU